This 253-nucleotide ribosomal RNA is filed under the name uncultured bacterium. Its description in RNAcentral is "partial 16S ribosomal RNA". It matches the Rfam family "Bacterial small subunit ribosomal RNA", at positions 524 to 776 of the family's 1533-position model. The record is from RNAcentral.
GACGGAGGAUGCAAGUGUUAUCCGGAAUCACUGGGCGUAAAGCGUCUGUAGGUGGUUUAAAAAGUCCACUGUUAAAGAUUGAAGCUUAGCUUCAAAAAUGCCGUGGAAACUUUUAAACUUGAGUAUGAUAGGGGUAGAGGGAAUUUCCAGUGGAGCGGUGAAAUGCGUAGAUAUUGGAAAGACCACCAAUGGCGAAGGCACUCUACUGGGCCAUUACUGACACUGAGAGACGAAAGCUAGGGGAGCAAAUGGG